UACAGAGGGUGCAAGCGUUAAUCGGAAUUACUGGGCGUAAAGCGUGCGUAGUCGGUUAUCUAAGUCGGGUGUGAAAUCCCCGGGCUCAACCUGGGAAUUGCAUUCGAUACUGGAUAGCUAGAGUUCGGCAGAGGGAAGCGGAAUUUACGGUGUAGCGGUGAAAUGCGUAGAUAUCGUAAGGAAGACCAGUGGCGAAGGCGGGUCUCUGGACAGUUCCUGACGCUGAGGCACGAAGGUCAGGGGAGCAAACGGG
RNAcentral lists this ribosomal RNA (253 nucleotides) under uncultured bacterium. RNAcentral describes it as "partial 16S ribosomal RNA". It matches the Rfam family "Bacterial small subunit ribosomal RNA", at positions 524 to 776 of the family's 1533-position model. The record is from RNAcentral.